GUACUGCUGAAGAGUCCCAAACUAGGACAAAAUGGCUGUCCAGUAC
Molecule: non-coding RNA, 46 nt
Filed under: Trichobilharzia regenti
Lineage: Eukaryota; Metazoa; Platyhelminthes; Trematoda; Strigeidida; Schistosomatidae
Source: RNAcentral